Carassius carassius (crucian carp) is the source of this 796-nucleotide long non-coding RNA. RefSeq lists it as uncharacterized. The transcript is spliced from 3 exons. Lineage: Eukaryota; Metazoa; Chordata; Actinopteri; Cypriniformes; Cyprinidae. The record is from RefSeq and is a predicted model, not a curated record.
AUAGCCUGCACUCCUGUGGCCUGGGCCGACGGCAGCACUUGAAGUGAAUCGAUUGCUGCACUAGUAAAUUCAAUACAGCGCUGCACCUAAAAACUUAAGGCACGGCAGGCCUCCGAGGAGGAAGACCAUUACGCACUCACUUGCAAAUGUCUUAGUCCUUCAGAGUUCAGCUCUGAGUCGAUGUCUUGGAUAUCGAGGCUUUUAGAUGUCAUACUCAUGACAGGAGGAGCAGAAAAUUAGCAAGUGCCACUGGCACUUUUGCAGCUCAAAUCACGUCACAUGCUUUCAGAGAAAUGAUUGAUCAAAGCCGACCGUCAGCUCUAUCAGUCUGGACAGCCAUGAAUCGAAGGUCACCUGUGUUUUUCUCCAGAGCUAUUUGAUUGGCAUCAUGUGUAUGAAUAGAGAUAACUUAAUCUGGUUUGCUCAAUCUCAUGGUGCAUGUGUAUGUUUAUAUAUGUGUGUGUUGUCACAUGAUUAAUGUGGUGUAAGCUGCACCAUGCCCUUUAUCCUCUGUCCUCCUGGUGGCCUCUCUUCUUCUCUUGUUUUUUUUUUUUUUGCUGUUUCACUCACUUUAUCAUUCGGUCUCAUUUCUUUUGCCUUGAACACUCUCUUGUCCACCUUUUUUUUUCACUUUCACUCUCCUAUGAAAGAAAAGUCACAAAUGAGCUCUCUAGAUCUCAAUUGAUGUUUCUGGACAAUAAUGAGAUUUAAUGGAAAGCAAAUGGAGUCUUUCCUCAAGAAGGAAUGUUACAUGCUUCCAAAUUUCAGAUGAGAUCUAAACAAUAUCACAACUGUG